GUACACGCUGUGACUAGCAUAUCAAUAAGCGGAGGAAAAGAAACUAACAAGGAUUCCCCUAGUAACGGCGAGUGAAGCGGGAAGAGCUCAAAUUUGAAAUCUUAAAGGGUUUCCCUUUAUGAAUUGUAGUUUAAAGAAGUGUUUUCUGUUGAGGUUUUGGUAAAAGUUCUUUGGAAUAGGACAUCAUAGAGGGUGAGAAUCCCGUAUUUGACCUUUACUUUCAACUUUGUGAUACACUUUCAAAGAGUCGGAUUGUUUGGGAAUGCAGUCCAAAAUGGGUGGUAAAUUUCAUCUAAAGCUAAAUAUUGGCGAGAGACCGAUAGCGAACAAGUACCGUGAGGGAAAGAUGAAAAGAACUUUGAAAAGAGAGUUAAACAGUACGUGAAAUUGUCAAAAGGGAAGCGUUUGACACCAGUGCUGUUUUUCUGAAAAUCAAUUAAAGAACUGUUCAUGCUAAGUUGUUUAGACUUUAUCAGCUAACUGUUUAGUUUUGAGCUUUUCUUUAAUGCACUUUUCAGUUAACAAGUCAACAUCAAUUUCUUUAGCUGUAAAAAAGCUUGAGGAAGGUGGCUUGAGAUUCGUCUUAAGUGUUUAUAACCUCUUGCCUAUGCAGUCGGAGAGAUUGAGGUCUGCAGCGUAGAUCCUUCGGGGCUAAAUGCAUUUGUGCUAAGUUAUAACAUUUUAUAGACAACUUGUUGACUAUGAUUUGUCUUGUAGCUUACUCGCUUAUGUUAUUCUACCUACGCUUAGGAUGUUGAGCGCAUGUCUCUCUCU
RNAcentral lists this ribosomal RNA (774 nucleotides) under uncultured Neocallimastigales. RNAcentral's name for it is "partial large subunit ribosomal RNA". It matches the Rfam family "Eukaryotic large subunit ribosomal RNA", at positions 22 to 616 of the family's 3401-position model. The record is from RNAcentral. Lineage: Eukaryota; Fungi; Neocallimastigomycota; Neocallimastigomycetes; Neocallimastigales.